AUUGAACGCUGGCGGCAGGCCUAACACAUGCAAGUCGAACGGUAACAGGAAGAAGCUUGCUUCUUUGCUGACGAGUGGCGGACGGGUGAGUAAUGUCUGGGAAACUGCCUGAUGGAGGGGGAUAACUACUGGAAACGGUAGCUAAUACCGCAUAACGUCGCAAGACCAAAGAGGGGGACCUUCGGGCCUCUUGCCAUCGGAUGUGCCCAGAUGGGAUUAGCUAGUAGGUGGGGUAACGGCUCACCUAGGCGACGAUCCCUAGCUGGUCUGAGAGGAUGACCGGCAAAACUGAAAAUGGGACCCGGGCCGACCUCCGAGGGGGGGCAGAGGGGGGGAAAAUGGAACAAGGGGGGGAAGCCUGAUGCACCCGUGCGGGGGGUAUGAAGAAGGCCGUGGGGUGUAAAAGUCCUUUCCGCGGGGAGGAGGGGAGUAAAGUUAAACCCUUUGCCCAUGGACGUAACCCGCGGAAGAAGCACCGGCUACCCCCU
Molecule: ribosomal RNA, 488 nt
Filed under: uncultured bacterium
Lineage: Bacteria
Description: partial 16S ribosomal RNA
Rfam family: Bacterial small subunit ribosomal RNA
Source: RNAcentral